RNAcentral lists this long non-coding RNA (2281 nucleotides) under Anolis carolinensis (green anole). RNAcentral describes it as "lncRNA (ENSACAG00000039053.1)". The record is from RNAcentral. Lineage: Eukaryota; Metazoa; Chordata; Lepidosauria; Squamata; Anolidae.
AACUGGGGUUGGAGGUGCUGAACAUGAAAAAUAGCAUUUAGACACUGCUGAGGCAAAUCAAAACAAAUGCUAAGCAUUACUGGACCAAUAUCUACAUCCAAUACAAAGUAUUACAACAAGCUUAGCUCUCUUUGUGUAUGUGUUUCAGUAUAAGUUUGCAAUCCUGGAAGGCUCUUUAAAAAAAGAAAAUAAAUGCAUUUGUAAGUUUUCACUACAUAAGAGAUGUUUUUUCUCUUUUGUUAUAUAGACUAUGAUUUCCAACACAAAAUGGCAACUAUACCUAUGGAGGAGGAUCAACCCUAACAUGAGGCUGGGAAUGUACAACCCACAAUCCAUUGGCUGCAUACUCCUCAAGGAUGGUGCACAGUUUCCAACAACUGCUGCUGCCAGGUCGAGUGACAGCUCCAGUAAACCCUGUGUCAUCCUGAUUUCUCAGUUGUUCUUAAAAAGUUAUGGUUUCUCUCUGUCCUUCUCUCUCUUUUCCCCUUCAUCCUAGUUUAUCUCAAUUACUGAUUAAUUCAAACUGAAAAAAGUACAUUGGGCCCUUGAUAUCUGAAGGACUGCAAUGGAAAUCAUCUGCCCUCUGCUGCUGAAUACACAUGCCCAAUGUGGAACACAUAUCUCCACAUUAAAACAGUGGAUGUGGCUCUUAAUGAGACAUACCACGUUAUCACAGGAUGUCUGUGCCUCACACCACUGCAGUAAUUAUACUGUUUAGCCAGUAUUGCACAACCUGACAUCUGCCAGGAAGUAAGAGCCAACAAUGAAAGGACCAAGGCAGUGACAUUUCCUGCCCAUCCCCUGUUCGGAUAUCAGCUAGCAUGCCAAUGCCUUAAAUCAAGAAAUAGUUUUCUAAGAUCUACAGAGAUACUCGCAGAAACACCUCAGCAAGCAAGAGUCCAAAAGUGGCAGGCUAAAACUCGGAACCUUAAGUCAUGGCUGAUACUAAAUAAGAGACUCUCUCCUGGGCACACAGAAGAUUGAGCGACUUGGAAGGCGCUGAACAGACUGUGCUCUGGCACCACAAGAUGCAGAGCCAACCUUAAGAAAUCGGGGCACAAAGUGGAAUCCAUGACAUGGGAAUGUGGAGAAGAGCAAACCACAGACCACCUACUACAAUGCAACCUGAACCCUGUCACAUGCACAAUGGAGGACCUACUUAUAGCAACACCAGAGGCAUUCCAAGUGGCCAGCUCCUGGUCAAAGGACAUUUAGUAUAAUUUCAAGUUUUAAAAACUUUGUUUGUGUUUUAAAUACAUUACAACUGUACCCUUUGUUUGCUUCUGACAUGAUAAAUAAAUCUGAAGAACUUUGUUUCCAGGACCUACUAUGUAUGGCAAAAUAAGCAGAUGCUCAACUCCCAUUAUUUACAAUAGUGUAAAAAAAAUGGCAUCCCUUAUAGGAAAUGGCAAAAUUAACAAGUGUUGUUGUUUUUUUCAAUUUUAAUAAAUCUUUUCAAAUUGUAGCUAGUUGAAUCCAUGGAAAAAGAAACAAGGGCCAACUUUAGUUAAUACUCCACUCAAGAUAAGGAAGGAAAAUACUGUAGCGUCUUAACUGAAGCUUCCUUAAGCUCAGUACAUACAUUAUAGGGUUUAUUUAGAAUAGUAUUUUUGUAUCUUCUUGUUACAUUGCCACAGCACACAGACCACAUGAUCCUGUCACUCAGCCAAAUGUCCCAAUUUUUAUUUGUGAAAUGUUGGGAAGGAAUGCCAUUGCACCAGAAAAUUGUUUGCUGGACAUCCCCUUCCUCAUCACCCACCUUUGGCCCCUCUCCAAUGAGCAUGGGGUAUGUCUGUUUUCCCUCUUGAGAGGAUGUUCUAGGAAAUAGUAUCAGAGGGCCUGUUUCUGAGGGCAGGAGGCCAAUGUGUCUCUUAGGAGAGACUCUGUAGCAGCUAUUGUCAGAGGUCUCUAUGCCCCUUCAGCACUCUCCUCAAUACGUAUAAUAAUAACUAUAGUUAGAAUAGUUACAUUGUAAUAAUUACAUUGUCAAAAGUGAGUAAUAAUUAAAAUGUAAAAGCAAUAAUAAAUUAAAUUGGAAUAAAUUAAAUUAAAUCCAAAAUGGAUCUUCCUCCCAAUUACAAUUAUGCAUUCCUCUGUGUGAAAGAGUGUUUUUGUAUUAGUACAUAUAUGGCUCCAGAGACUCCUUGUAGUGCAGUGCUUUGAAUGCUGGACUGGGACUUAGGACAGUGGUUCUCAACCUGGGGUCCCCAGAUGUUUUUGGCCUUCAACUUCCAGAAAUCCUAACAGCUGGUAAACUGGCUAGGAUUUUGGGAGUUAUAGA